UAAGGAAUAUUGGACAAUGGAGGCAACUCUGAUCCAGCCAUGCCGCGUGAAGGAAUAAGGCCCUAUGGGUUGUAAACUUCUUUUAGACGGGACAAAACCCCUUUACGUGUAAAGGGUUGAUGGUACUGUCAGAAUAAGCAUCGGCUAACUUCGUGCCAGCAGCCGCGGUAAUACGAAGGAUGCAAGCGUUAUCCGGAAUUAUUGGGUUUAAAGGGUGCGUAGGCGGACUAAUAAGUCAGUGGUGAAAGCCUGCAGCUUAACUGCAGAAUUGCCAUUGAUACUGUUAGUCUUGAGUACAGUUGAGGUAGGCGGAAUGUGUCAUGUAGCGGUGAAAUUCUUAGAUAUGACACAGAACACCGAUUGCGAAGGCAGCUUGCUAAGCUGUAACUGACGCUGAGGCACGAAAGCGUGGGGAGCAAACA
Molecule: ribosomal RNA, 422 nt
Filed under: uncultured bacterium
Lineage: Bacteria
Description: bacterial SSU rRNA
Rfam family: Bacterial small subunit ribosomal RNA
Source: RNAcentral